This 1457-nucleotide ribosomal RNA is filed under the name Escherichia coli. RNAcentral describes it as "bacterial SSU rRNA". It matches the Rfam family "Bacterial small subunit ribosomal RNA". Lineage: Bacteria; Pseudomonadati; Pseudomonadota; Gammaproteobacteria; Enterobacterales; Enterobacteriaceae. The record is from RNAcentral.
ACGAGUGGCGGACGGGUGAGUAAUGUCUGGGAAACUGCCUGAUGGAGGGGGAUAACUACUGGAAACGGUAGCUAAUACCGCAUAACGUCGCAAGACCAAAGAGGGGGACCUUAGGGCCUCUUGCCAUCGGAUGUGCCCAGAUGGGAUUAGCUAGUAGGUGGGGUAACGGCUCACCUAGGCGACGAUCCCUAGCUGGUCUGAGAGGAUGACCAGCCACACUGGAACUGAGACACGGUCCAGACUCCUACGGGAGGCAGCAGUGGGGAAUAUUGCACAAUGGGCGCAAGCCUGAUGCAGCCAUGCCGCGUGUAUGAAGAAGGCCUUCGGGUUGUAAAGUACUUUCAGCGGGGAGGAAGGGAGUAAAGUUAAUACCUUUGCUCAUUGACGUUACCCGCAGAAGAAGCACCGGCUAACUCCGUGCCAGCAGCCGCGGUAAUACGGAGGGUGCAAGCGUUAAUCGGAAUUACUGGGCGUAAAGCGCACGCAGGCGGUUUGUUAAGUCAGAUGUGAAAUCCCCGGGCUCAACCUGGGAACUGCAUCUGAUACUGGCAAGCUUGAGUCUCGUAGAGGGGGGUAGAAUUCCAGGUGUAGCGGUGAAAUGCGUAGAGAUCUGGAGGAAUACCGGUGGCGAAGGCGGCCCCCUGGACGAAGACUGACGCUCAGGUGCGAAAGCGUGGGGAGCAAACAGGAUUAGAUACCCUGGUAGUCCACGCCGUAAACGAUGUCGACUUGGAGGUUGUGCCCUUGAGGCGUGGCUUCCGGAGCUAACGCGUUAAGUCGACCGCCUGGGGAGUACGGCCGCAAGGUUAAAACUCAAAUGAAUUGACGGGGGCCCGCACAAGCGGUGGAGCAUGUGGUUUAAUUCGAUGCAACGCGAAGAACCUUACCUGGUCUUGACAUCCACGGAAGUUUUCAGAGAUGAGAAUGUGCCUUCGGGAACCGUGAGACAGGUGCUGCAUGGCUGUCGUCAGCUCGUGUUGUGAAAUGUUGGGUUAAGUCCCGCAACGAGCGCAACCCUUAUCCUUUGUUGCCAGCGGUCCGGCCGGGAACUCAAAGGAGACUGCCAGUGAUAAACUGGAGGAAGGUGGGGAUGACGUCAAGUCAUCAUGGCCCUUACGACCAGGGCUACACACGUGCUACAAUGGCGCAUACAAAGAGAAGCGACCUCGCGAGAGCAAGCGGACCUCAUAAAGUGCGUCGUAGUCCGGAUUGGAGUCUGCAACUCGACUCCAUGAAGUCGGAAUCGCUAGUAAUCGUGGAUCAGAAUGCCACGGUGAAUACGUUCCCGGGCCUUGUACACACCGCCCGUCACACCAUGGGAGUGGGUUGCAAAAGAAGUAGGUAGCUUAACCUUCGGGAGGGCGCUUACCACUUUGUGAUUCAUGACUGGGGUGAAGUCGUAACAAGGUAACCGUAGGGGAACCUGCGGUUGGAUCACCUCCUUACCUUAAAGAAGC